CGAGCACCUGCACUCAGGUGGGGGUCCGCAAUGCAGCCUUCUUCCUGUGAGAUUUCUAACUAAACUUCAGCGGAGAAAGUGAGAGUGCUAGCCCUUCAGUCGUGUCCGACUCUGUGACUCUGUGGACUGUAGCCCGCCAGGCUCCUCUGUCUGCGGGAUUCUCCAGGCAGGAAUGCGGGAGUCAGUAGCCAUACCCUUCUCCAGGGAUGCUCCUGAGCCAGGGAUGAAACCUGGGUCUCCUGCAUCGCAGGCGGAUUCUUUACCGUCUGAGCCACCAGGGAAGCCCCACUCCUCCAGUUACCUGGCAUUUAUUCUGUCUCUGAAGAAACCCCUCCCCUGUUCAGCUGCAACACUUGGAAAAUGGCAUCCGGGCACUGUUACCAGGACAAAGGCAUCGAUCUCGGCUGAGAGAACGCUGAGAUGUAUUGACAGAGAGGUUUGCAUCGAUCCAGCAGGAAGUAAGGGGUGUGUAUGUGUCAGUUCCAGCCUCUGCAGGUGGAAGAGACACUUGUCUGCUCAGCAGUGCCAGAAGCGCUGGUUUGAUGGAGGGGAGGAAGCUGAGAUGACCCCAGGGAGACAGGACAAGGAGGACAGGUGUGGAGCCUGGAACCCCAGACUCCUCCCUCCCAGAGAGCAGCCCUGGGGCAGGAACUCUGAUCCCCUGCUUCCUACACGGG
This is a long non-coding RNA of Bos taurus (domestic cattle), 677 nucleotides long. Lineage: Eukaryota; Metazoa; Chordata; Mammalia; Artiodactyla; Bovidae. The record is from Ensembl.